This 676-nucleotide long non-coding RNA is filed under the name Nicotiana tabacum (common tobacco). RNAcentral describes it as "long non-coding RNA (NTAB_LNC007808)". Lineage: Eukaryota; Viridiplantae; Streptophyta; Magnoliopsida; Solanales; Solanaceae. The record is from RNAcentral.
CUCAUCAAAAAAUUGUUGCACACUUCUCAGUUUUCAACAUGGCUAUGAGGAAAGCAUCCAUCACUUUGUUCUGUAUGGUUUGUCUUAUGCUUAUCACAAUAGGUAUAUUUUACUUUCUCAUUACAUGAAAAUCCUGAUUUUAUAUAUGUUUGUAUGCCUAAAUUAAAAUUUGAAUUAUUAACAUAAAAGUAUUUCAUAAUAUAAAUUAAUUUAACUUUUGGAGUUUCAAGUAUAUAAUUAAUAUAGCAAAUCCAAAAUAGUUUGGGACUUGAGACACUGCAACUUAUCAUAUUUUUUCUGAACCGACCUAUUAAGUUGUAUUAUUGUCUAGUAACACUUGUUUUACACGAAUUUUACUACUUUCUUAAACAUAAUAUUUGUAAUACUUUAUAACAAAAAUUUAAUUAAUAUUUGUUUAUAGGCUUGCAGAAUGUGGAAGGUUCGGCCUUGUUUGGUGAACCAUGCACAACAUUUAGGGAUUGCUUUAAUUCUUGCGGUCAUGGCGCAAUCCCCUUUUGCCAAAAUGGACAUUGCAGUUGCGAUAAGCAGGAGGAGGCUAUUAGCAUUUCUCCAACGGGAGCUAUUAGAAAAUUUUUACAAAACAAUUAAAGACUCUGUAAUUAUACACAGGAAUAAUUGGUCUAUUGAAAUUUUCUUUAGUUGCUGAAAAUAAUAA